CGCGCCCGCGCGCACCCCCUCCCACUGCUCCUCUGCUUCCCCCUCCCGGGCCGGGUUCCGUUCAGGAAAUGGCCCGGGAUGAGGUUCCCAGCUGCUUCCCAGCCGGGGCAGCGCUUCCUCCGCCGCCUGGGCUCCUCGCUCGCCGCCCGGAGCGCCUUUGUCCGGCCAGCCGAGGCUCUUCCCGAGCGGCCGGACCUCACGACGGCCCUGGGAGGAUCGUUUGCUUCGCUUCAUCGACUUACCAACUUUUUACUUGAUUUCAGGGCGUCAGGGGAUGAAGCGGGAAGCUAACCUCCAUUUCGCCCAAGAUUUUGCUGCACAUGCAACGCGGAGGUUGGGUAAUUUUAGGAACCUAGAGGAGCGUGUGCCGUGGGUAUUGGGCAGUCAGAACCAUCGCACAUCCCUCCGGGGAGUCUGCCCCGGAAUCCCCGUCUCACGCAGAGCUCUGCAGUCCGGUGUGGACUGCCUUUCCCUGGCAUCGCGUUUGGGCUCCUCACGCCCUCCCUCGAUGCUACUUCGCCUUUGUUGAAAUUCUUG
Manis javanica (Malayan pangolin) is the source of this 537-nucleotide long non-coding RNA. RefSeq lists it as uncharacterized. The record is from RefSeq and is a predicted model, not a curated record. NCBI's taxonomy places the organism in Eukaryota, Metazoa, Chordata, Mammalia, Pholidota, Manidae.